GCGAGUGAAGCGGGAAAAGCUCAAAUUUAAAAUCUGGCGGUCUUUGGCUGUCCGAGUUGUAGUCUGGAGAAGCGUUUUCCGCGCUGGACCGUGUACAAGUCCCUUGGAAUAGGGCGUCAUAGAGGGUGAGAAUCCCGUCUUUGACACGGACUACCAGUGCUUUGUGAUGCGCUCUCAAAGAGUCGAGUUGUUUGGGAAUGCAGCUCAAAAUGGGUGGUAAAUUCCAUCUAAAGCUAAAUAUUGGCGAGAGACCGAUAGCGAACAAGUACCGUGAGGGAAAGAUGAAAAGCACUUUGGAAAGAGAGUUAAACAGUACGUGAAAUUGCUGAAAGGGAAACGAUUGAAGUCAGUCGCGUUGUACAGAACUCAGCCUGGCUUUUGCUUGGUGUAUUUUCUGUAUGACGGGCCAGCAUCAAUUUUGGCCGCUGGAAAAAGGCUUCAGAAAUGUGGCACCUUCGGGUGUGUUAUAGUCUGAGGUCAUAUACAGCGGCUGGGAUUGAGGUCUGCAGCACGCCUUUAUGGCUGGGGUUCGCCCACAUUCGUGCUUAGGAUGCUGGCGUAAUGGCUUUAAACGAC
RNAcentral lists this ribosomal RNA (576 nucleotides) under Cerrena aurantiopora. RNAcentral describes it as "eukaryotic LSU rRNA". It matches the Rfam family "Eukaryotic large subunit ribosomal RNA", at positions 89 to 648 of the family's 3401-position model. The record is from RNAcentral. Lineage: Eukaryota; Fungi; Basidiomycota; Agaricomycetes; Polyporales; Cerrenaceae.